UCAGACCAAGCAUUCAAAAGCCAAGGGUGUGUUGGACAUCAGCCCUGGCUUUUCCAAUGACUUGACUUGCAUCACUUCGCUCUGCUCUUCUAGUGACCUUAAGUGACCACAAUCAGGAUUUUUGGACAGUGGCACCUGAUUUUCACAGAGGAACCUUCCACCUACUCCAAGAGAUACGGCCUUGGUAGGACUGUCAAUCAAAGUGAUGUCCUCUCCAGCUCAAGAGGAGUGUUUGGUGGCUCUUACGUGGUAUUGUACUGGAAGGAAGAGUUAAGCCUUGGAUUCCCCAAGCUGUUGAAAGGAUCCAGUCUUCCCCAGUGCUGUUGCCAUCUUCCAGGGAAGUGUCUUUGACUUUGGUCUUGAAGAGAGUUUUAUCCCCCC
Molecule: long non-coding RNA, 381 nt
Filed under: Equus caballus (horse)
Lineage: Eukaryota; Metazoa; Chordata; Mammalia; Perissodactyla; Equidae
Description: lncRNA (ENSECAG00000056389.1)
Source: RNAcentral